GAUGAACGCUGGCGGCGUGCCUAAUACAUGCAAGUCGAGCGAACAGACGAGGAGCUUGCUCCUCUGACGUUAGCGGCGGACGGGUGAGUAACACGUGGAUAACCUACCUAUAAGACUGGGAUAACUUCGGGAAACCGGAGCUAAUACCGGAUAAUAUAUUGAACCGCAUGGUUCAAUAGUGAAAGACGGUUUUGCUGUCACUUAUAGAUGGAUCCGCGCCGCAUUAGCUAGUUGGUAAGGUAACGGCUUACCAAGGCAACGAUGCGUAGCCGACCUGAGAGGGUGAUCGGCCACACUGGAACUGAGACACGGUCAGACUCCUACGGGAGGCAGCAGUAGGGAAUCUUCCGCAAAGGGCGAAAGCCUGACGGAGCAACGCCGCGUGAGUGAUGAAGGUCUUCGGAUCGUAAAACUCUGUUAUUAGGGAAGAACAAAUGUGUAAGUAACUAUGCACGUCUUGACGGUACCUAAUCAGAAAGCCACGGCUAACUACGUG
RNAcentral lists this ribosomal RNA (496 nucleotides) under uncultured bacterium. RNAcentral's name for it is "partial 16S ribosomal RNA". It matches the Rfam family "Bacterial small subunit ribosomal RNA", at positions 28 to 507 of the family's 1533-position model. The record is from RNAcentral.